RNAcentral lists this ribosomal RNA (660 nucleotides) under uncultured bacterium. Its description in RNAcentral is "bacterial SSU rRNA". It matches the Rfam family "Bacterial small subunit ribosomal RNA", at positions 53 to 711 of the family's 1533-position model. The record is from RNAcentral.
CCAUGCAAGUCGAACGAAGCAUUUGCGACAGAUUUCUUCGGAUUGAAGUUGCUUAUGACUGAGUGGCGGACGGGUGAGUAACGCGUGGGUAACCUGCCUCACACAGGGGGAUAGCAGUUGGAAACGGCUGAUAAUACCGCAUAAGCGCACAGUACCGCAUGGUACAGUGUGAAAAACUCCGGUGGUGUGAGAUGGACCCGCGUCUGAUUAGCUAGUUGGCGGGGUAACGGCCCACCAAGGCAACGAUCAGUAGCCGACCUGAGAGGGUGACCGGCCACAUUGGGACUGAGACACGGCCCAGACUCCUACGGGAGGCAGCAGUGGGGAAUAUUGCACAAUGGAGGAAACUCUGAUGCAGCGACGCCGCGUGAGUGAAGAAGUAAUUCGUUAUGUAAAGCUCUAUCAGCAGGGAAGAUAGUGACGGUACCUGACUAAGAAGCUCCGGCUAAAUACGUGCCAGCAGCCGCGGUAAUACGUAUGGAGCAAGCGUUAUCCGGAUUUACUGGGUGUAAAGGGAGUGUAGGUGGCAUCACAAGUCAGAAGUGAAAGCCCGGGGCUCAACCCCGGGACUGCUUUUGAAACUGUGGAGCUGGAGUGCAGGAGAGGCAAGUGGAAUUCCUAGUGUAGCGGUGAAAUGCGUAGAUAUUAGGAGGAACACCA